GGGGCCAGGGGACCCCUGAGGAGUACUCUCUGCGCUCCUUCACCCCCUUCCUCCUGGAUUCUUGGCUUGUCCUCCACAGUCUCUCACCUCUCCAGUUCUUUGGCGAUUGCGCUCUCUUCUAAGAGGCUUUGCGCUGUAUCUCCUUGAAGAGACCUUGAAGUCCAACAGGCAAUGAUCAACUAUCCUGGGGCCUCUUUCACCAGAGUCUAGAGCUGCACCGCCCAACACAGUUGGCCACUUGCCACAUAUGGCUAUGUGGCCUUGCCGAAGUUCUCAGCAUACUCUUCAUCAUCUGUGAUCAGGAAGUUAUCGAAGAUGGUUCCGGAUCUCACCUGUGGAUGAAAAUGAGUCCUUCAUUACUGAUGCAAAAAAGGAAACUUUCUACAAAAUGAACGGUUGUAAUUUACUCAGUAUGAUCACAGUGAUUAGCUGUCAAGAGUAGAACAGGCUGAAACCCUUUUCUACAACAUCCAUUCCUUCCAGGGCACUGGUGCUCAAACUUGGCUGCAUACUGUUUUAAAAACUCCUGAUGGAACUCAGGAGUUCUGUGUCUUCAUGGAUACGGGGGAACCUGUGGUGUAGGUCACAGA
Long non-coding RNA from Phacochoerus africanus (Common warthog), 590 nucleotides. RefSeq lists it as uncharacterized. Lineage: Eukaryota; Metazoa; Chordata; Mammalia; Artiodactyla; Suidae. The transcript is spliced from 3 exons. The record is from RefSeq and is a predicted model, not a curated record.